CAGCCGUAAACAAUGUGCGUUAGGUGUGUCGGUAACCACGUGUUACUGAUGCGCCGAAGAGAAAUCGUGAAACGCACCACCUGGGAAGUACGGUCGCAAGGCUGAAACUUAAAGGAAUUGGCGGGGGAGCACCACAACAGGUGGAGCCUGCGGUUUAAUUGGAUUCAACGCCGGACAUCUCACCGGAUAAGACAGCUGAAUGAUUGUCAAUCUGAAGGUUUUACAUGACUAGCUGAGAGGAGGUGCAUGGCGUAGACGUCU
Molecule: ribosomal RNA, 261 nt
Filed under: uncultured archaeon
Lineage: Archaea
Description: partial 16S ribosomal RNA
Rfam family: Archaeal small subunit ribosomal RNA
Source: RNAcentral